GUGAAUCAUCGAAUCUUUGAACGCACAUUGCGCCCGCCAGCAUUCUGGCGGGCAUGCCUGUUCGAGCGUCAUUUCAACCCUCGAGCCCCCCCGGGGGCCUCGGUGUUGGGGGACGGCACACCAGCCGCCCCCGAAAUGCAGUGGCGACCUCGCCGCAGCCUCCCCUGCGUAGUAGCACACACCUCGCACCGGAGCGCGGAGACGGUCACGCCGUAAAACGCCCAACUUCUUAGAGUUGACCUCGGAUCAGGUAGGAAUACCCGCUGAACUUAAGCAUAUCAAUAAGCGGAGGA
Molecule: unclassified non-coding RNA, 293 nt
Filed under: Tolypocladium sp.
Lineage: Eukaryota; Fungi; Ascomycota; Sordariomycetes; Hypocreales; Ophiocordycipitaceae
Description: partial contains 5.8S ribosomal RNA, internal transcribed spacer 2, and large subunit ribosomal RNA
Rfam family: 5.8S ribosomal RNA (bases 1-71)
Source: RNAcentral